GAUGAACGCUAGCGACAGGCUUAACACAUGCAAGUCGAGGGGCAGCACAGGUAGCAAUACCGGGUGGCGACCGGCGCACGGGUGAGUAACGCGUAUGCAACUUACCUAUCAGAGGGGGAUAACCCGGCGAAAGUCGGACUAAUACCGCAUAAAGCAGGGAUCCCGCAUGGGAAUAUUUGCUAAAGAUUUAUCGCUGAAAGAUGAGCUCGCGUCUGAUUAGCUAGUUGGCGGGGUAACGGCCCACCAAGGCGACGAUCAGUAGCCGGACUGAGAGGUUGAACGGCCACAUUGGGACUGAGACACGGCCCAG
This 310-nucleotide ribosomal RNA is filed under the name uncultured bacterium. Its description in RNAcentral is "bacterial SSU rRNA". It matches the Rfam family "Bacterial small subunit ribosomal RNA", at positions 28 to 334 of the family's 1533-position model. The record is from RNAcentral.